GACCCAAAGAUCGAAUGGGGAGAUUCAUCGUCAGCGACGCUGGUUUCGCGAUGGCUCGUGACGACCGCGGGGCCCAACGGCCUUCGCGCGUUUACACGGCCGUCGCGAUACGUCCGGCGGCGUCGGCGUGCACUUCUCCCCUAGUAGGACGUCGCGACCCGUUGGGUGCCGAUCUAAGGCCCGGGUGGGUGUCUGUCGCGUCGCUUCGGCGCACGGGGCAAACCCUCGGUCUUGCCAGUAUCGGCUGCCCGGCGGUACUCGCAAUCAUGGUAUCGGGCCGCAAAAUUCGAACUGCGUCGGGCCCGCCGCAAGCGCGGCCAGCGACAUUCGCGGAGGUACGGACCUGGUGCCGUCCCCGUGCCUGGCCAGCUGUUGGCAGGCGGUGCAUCCUGACAGGCCAAAAACUCACGAAAGUGUGAUACCGGUCGGCGACGCUACUGCUUUGGGUAAUCUCAGGACCCGUCUUGAAACACGGACCAAGGAGUCUAACAUGUGCGCGAGUCAUUGGGGACAAGCAUGCCUAAAGGCGAAAUGAAAGUGAAGGUCGGCCUAGCGCCGACCGAGGGAGGAUGGGCCGCGUCACGAUGCGGCUUCGCACUCCCGGGGCGUCUCGUUCUCAUUGCGAGAAGAGGCGCACCCAGAGCGUACACGUUGGGACCCGAAAGAUGGUGAACUAUGCCUGGUCAGGACGAAGUCAGGGGAAACCCUGAUGGAGGUCCGUAGCGAUUCUGACGUGCAAAUCGAUCGUCGGAACUGGGUAUAGGGGCGAAAGACUAAUC
RNAcentral lists this ribosomal RNA (779 nucleotides) under Pristocera formosana. Its description in RNAcentral is "eukaryotic LSU rRNA". The stretch from base 322 to 779 matches the Rfam family "Eukaryotic large subunit ribosomal RNA", at positions 1 to 936 of the family's 3401-position model. The record is from RNAcentral. Lineage: Eukaryota; Metazoa; Arthropoda; Insecta; Hymenoptera; Bethylidae.